Molecule: ribosomal RNA, 496 nt
Filed under: uncultured bacterium
Lineage: Bacteria
Description: partial 16S ribosomal RNA
Rfam family: Bacterial small subunit ribosomal RNA
Source: RNAcentral
GAUGAACGCUGGCGGCGUGCCUAAUACAUGCCAGUCGAGCGAACGGACGAGAAGCUUGCUUCUCUGAUGUUAGCGGCGGACGGGUGAGUAACACGUGGAUAACCUACCUAUAAGACUGGGAUAACUUCGGGAAACCGGAGCUAAUACCGGAUAAUAUUUUGAACCGCAUGGUUCAAAAGUGAAAGACGGUCUUGCUGUCACUUAUAGAUGGAUCCGCGCUGCAUUAGCUAGUUGGUAAGGUAACGGCUUACCAAGGCAACGAUGCAUAGCCGACCUGAGAGGGUGAUCGGCCACACUGGACCUGAGACCCGGUCCAGACUCCUACGGGCGGCAGCAGUAGGGAAUCUUCCGCAAUGGGCGAAAGCCUGACGGAGCAACGCCGCGUGAGUGAUGAAGGUCUUCGGAUCGUAAAACUCUGUUAUUAGGGAAGAACAUAUGUGUAAGUAACUGUGCACAUCUUGACGGUACCUAAUCAGAAAGCCACGGCUAACUACGU